UGUGGAUAUUGUUUUUCGGAUUUCAAGACAGUGAAGAAGACUGUGGGGUCGGUGUUCCAGGACUAGCGCACUUACAGGCCUGCUAUGAGUGCUUCAUCUCUAGCUGAACAAUGCAGUUCACCUCAACCAGUCCAGAGCAAACACAGUUCACAGACAACAGGAGCAGUGGGCAGGAGUCAUGCCCGCAGGCUUUGUCAGCAUGGAUUAAUAGCUGAAAUCAACACAGUGUCCUCAACCUACCACUGUAGAUCAGCUGAAGGAAGGUGAAGUGGCAGAAGAAAGAGUCAAGACACCACUCUGAGUCCCGAAAGUCCUUUGAGAAUGCACCAGGAUAUUUGAUAUUUGUCUGCUAACAGCAUUCUGUUUUUCCAAAGUUGUGAAUCAGUGAAGUCCUUUCUGCUUGUUUCUAGUCCUUUAGAGGUGAUAGUAACUGAGGUCAUUAUAAACAUAAUCACUGGGAAACAGUCAGAUAUGACUUCUGUGGCAGAUUUGUUCCUUUUAAAUUCUGUAGCUGCUGUUGUGUGCAAUUAUAUGUGAUCAUUACUUUUCUGCAAGAGCAGUUCUUUCACUCUUGAGUAAAGGCAACAUACUGUUUCCAUGUUAAAUAGUCACUUAGAAAUGACAAAAGUACAAUGUAGAUGACAUAUAACAUUUAAAUAAAGCACAGUCAUUAGUGUUGCAGGUCAUAAACCAGACUAAUGGACAAAGUGAGAUUUUGCCCUGAUAAAGGUGCUAUAGGAGAGGUUGAUUUAUUGUGUGGGAAUUGUGACUGCCUGUGCUGUAUUUUAGGGCAAGGGAUCUACACAGCAGAAACUGACAACAUCAGAACACAUGCAAAGAGAGGUCAGUGGUCAUCAAGCAUAAGUCAGCGCACAACCAGAAGAAAAUCAAGGAGGACAUUCACAUCUGACAGCACAGCCUGUUAUCAAAAAGGUCAUGCUGGGGUCUGGUGGUAAAACAAAGGUGUGAAUUACAGGGGGGUUUAGGGACUUUGGCCAUCCCAAAGAAGGUGAAAAUAACAGUUUGGGGUAGCUGGGGCUGAGGUCAAAACAACAGAUUCUUUGAAACUCCUUAGCUGUGAGCCUUCUUAAAGCUUCAUAGUUUGUAGUGAGUGACAGCAGCAGACAGAGCAGGUGUUCAGUGCAGACUGUGUUGCAUUCUGACUGACUUAACCUGGUGUCAAUAAAGUCUAUAACAUGAUUACUUUAAACAUGGAAAAUCAUAUGGCAUCCACACUCCUGGGGAUCCAAACUAACCUUCAAAGAUGCUUACCAUCAGUGAAAGUUGUUUCUGUUGUUAGAACAUUAAAUAUGGGUAUACAUUUUGAAGUGGUCUCCUUUUUUACUUUAAGUGGUUUCUUAGUGGUGUCAUACUUGAUUCCAGUCAGUUCCACUUCUUUUAGGAUGGGGUCAAAAUCUAAGAAACAGGUAUUUCAAAUCAUGGCAGGUCAUAGCUACAGUAUCUAUAUUGCUAGACACUACUAGAAGAUGAGAACAAUUCCUGAACCAGCCCCUUAAUAAUAUGACUCCCACUGGCAGUGGCAGAACAACAUAGUACUGGGCCUGGGUGCAGAUUACCAUAAUUCAGUUCCCAUAAAAGGGAAACCAGUUGCUUGGGCAAACACUAGAAUACCAAUCAUCUUCCUACAUCAAGCCUCAUUAUAAUCAAUUAGAAAAUAGUACAUACUCACACCAGUAAAAAUUAACAUCAAUCAUCAAAAAGGCUAGGGACACUUUGGCAGAUGCAGCAUAGAUAAAAUUAAGCAGUCAACAGCAAAACGUAACACGGCUAUGGUAUAUUACACAUGUAGAUGUAUAAGCAAUAUAAUUAACACCAAAACAAGUGCAGUCCAACAACUACUAUAGGCUGAUUCAAAACAGAGUGUGUGUUUAUUUUUGGACACUGCCUAAUUCAGGUAUGGGAUUCCAAAAUAGCAAAAAAAAAUCAUGUGGUGGGGUAGGGUGGGGGGUGUUAUAGUCAAAAUGUGG
Molecule: long non-coding RNA, 1988 nt
Organism: Monopterus albus (swamp eel)
Lineage: Eukaryota; Metazoa; Chordata; Actinopteri; Synbranchiformes; Synbranchidae
Exons: 3
Source: RefSeq, a predicted model, not a curated record